Molecule: non-coding RNA, 91 nt
Filed under: unclassified sequences
Description: Rhodo-rpoB RNA
Rfam family: Rhodo-rpoB RNA
Source: RNAcentral
CGGUCGGGAGACUUCCUGGGAAGAAAGUCAAGAAUUGGCUGUUAUUAUCAUCUCAACUAAGCCCGCCGCUGGGUUCCCGACAGCGUGUGUG